GAUGAACGCUGGCGGCGUGCCUAAUACAUGCAAGUCGAGCGAACAGACGAGGAGCUUGCUCCUCUGACGUUAGCGGCGGACGGGUGAGUAACACGUGGAUAACCUACCUAUAAGACUGGGAUAACUUCGGGAAACCGGAGCUAAUACCGGAUAACAUGUUGAACCGCAUGGUUUAACAGUGAAAGACGGUCUUGCUGUCACUUAUAGAUGGAUCCGCGCCGCAUUAGCUAGUUGGUAAGGUAACGGCUUACCAAGGCAACGAUGCGUAGCCGACCUGAGAGGGUGAUCGGCCACACUGGAACUGAGACACGGUCCAGACUCCUACGGGAGGCAGCAGUAGGGAAUCUUCCGCAAUGGGCGAAAGCCUGACGGAGCAACGCCGCGUGAGUGAAGAAGGUCUUCGGAUCGUAAAACUCUGUUAUUAGGGAAGAACAAAUGUGUAAGUUACUAUGCACGUCUUGACGGUACCUAAUCAGAAAGCCACGGCUAACUACGUG
This 497-nucleotide ribosomal RNA is filed under the name uncultured bacterium. Its description in RNAcentral is "partial 16S ribosomal RNA". It matches the Rfam family "Bacterial small subunit ribosomal RNA", at positions 28 to 507 of the family's 1533-position model. The record is from RNAcentral.